RNAcentral lists this ribosomal RNA (410 nucleotides) under uncultured microorganism. RNAcentral's name for it is "bacterial SSU rRNA". It matches the Rfam family "Bacterial small subunit ribosomal RNA", at positions 509 to 917 of the family's 1533-position model. The record is from RNAcentral.
CAGCCGCCGCGGUAAUACGUAGGGGGCGAGCGUUGUCCGGAAUUAUUGGGCGUAAAGCGCGCGCAGGCGGUCCUUUAAGUCUGAUGUGAAAGCCCACGGCUCAACCGUGGAGGGUCAUUGGAAACUGGGGGACUUGAGUGCAGGAGAGGAGAGCGGAAUUCCACGUGUAGCGGUGAAAUGCGUAGAGAUGUGGAGGAACACCAGUGGCGAAGGCGGCUCUCUGGCCUGUAACUGACGCUGAGGCGCGAAAGCGUGGGGAGCAAACAGGAUUAGAUACCCUGGUAGUCCACGCCGUAAACGAUGAGUGCUAAGUGUUAGAGGGGUCACACCCUUUAGUGCUGCAGCUAACGCGAUAAGCACUCCGCCUGGGGAGUACGGGCGCAAGGCUGAAACUUAAAGGAAUUGGCGGG